AUAAGGUGGAAACCAGCAACCACGGUAAAAAACGGGGCUAUUCCGAAAAGCCAAAAGAGUAGGAAACUA
Non-coding RNA from Flavobacterium flevense, 69 nucleotides. NCBI's taxonomy places the organism in Bacteria, Pseudomonadati, Bacteroidota, Flavobacteriia, Flavobacteriales, Flavobacteriaceae. The record is from Rfam.